GACGAACGCUGGCGGCGUGCUUAACACAUGCAAGUCGAACGGAAAGGCCCUGCUUGCAGGGUACUCGAGUGGCGAACGGGUGAGUAACACGUGGGUGAUCUGCCCUUCACUUCGGGAUAAGCCUGGGAAACUGGGUCUAAUACCGGAUAGGAGCCACUUUUAGUGUGAUGGUUGGAAAGUUUUUUCGGUGUAGGAUGAGCUCGCGGCCUAUCAGCUUGUUGGUGGGGGAAUGGCCUACCAAGGCGGCGACGGGUAGCCGGCCUGAGAGGGUGGACGGCCACAUUGGGACUGGGAUACGGCCCGGACUCCUACGGGAGGCAGCAGUGGGGAAUAUUGCACAAGGGGCGCAGGCCUGAUGCAGCGACGCCGCGUGGGGGAUGACGGCCUUCGGGUUGUAAACUCCUUUCGCUAGGGACGAAGCUUUUGUGACGGUACCUAGAUAAGAAGCACCGGCUAACUACGUG
This 464-nucleotide ribosomal RNA is filed under the name uncultured bacterium. Its description in RNAcentral is "partial 16S ribosomal RNA". It matches the Rfam family "Bacterial small subunit ribosomal RNA", at positions 28 to 507 of the family's 1533-position model. The record is from RNAcentral.